RNAcentral lists this ribosomal RNA (427 nucleotides) under uncultured bacterium. RNAcentral's name for it is "partial 16S ribosomal RNA". It matches the Rfam family "Bacterial small subunit ribosomal RNA", at positions 355 to 774 of the family's 1533-position model. The record is from RNAcentral.
UGGGGAAUAUUGCACAAUGGGCGCAAGCCUGAUGCAGCCAUGCCGCGUGUAUGAAGAAGGCCUUCGGGUUGUAAAGUACUUUCAGCGGGGAGGAAGGCGAUAAGGUUAAUAACCUUGUCGAUUGACGUUACCCGCAGAAGAAGCACCGGCUAACUCCGUGCCAGCAGCCGCGGUAAUACGGGGGGUGCAAGCGUUAAUCGGAGUUACUGGGCGUAAAGCGCACGCAGGCGGUCUGUCAAGUCGGAUGUGAAAUCCCCGGGCUCAACCUGGGAACUGCAUUCGAAACUGGCAGGCUAGAGUCUUGUAGAGGGGGGUAGAAUUCCAGGUGUAGCGGUGAAAUGCGUAGAGAUCUGGAGGAAUACCGGUGGCGAAGGCGGCCCCCUGGACAAAGACUGACGCUCAGGUGCGAAAGCGUGGGGAGCAAACA